ACCUCAAAUCAGGUAAGAAUACCCGCUGAACUUAAGCAUAUCAAUAAGCGGAGGAAAAGAAAAUAACAAUGAUUCCCCUAGUAACGGCGAGUGAAGAGGGAAAAGCUCAAAUUUUAAAUCUGCUAGGUUUUACUUAUCAGAAUUGUAAUUUGAAGAAGCGUUUUCCGCGUCUCGGUUGGCCCAAAUCCUUUGGGAUAAGGUAUCAUGGAGGGUGAGAAUCCCGUUCGGUUGACCUUAUGACGCUCUACGAUACGCUCUCUAAGAGUCGAGUUGUUUGGGAUUGCAGCUCAAAAUGGGAGGUAAAUUUCUCCUAAGGCUAAAUAUCGGCGAGAGACCGAUAGCGAACAAGUACCGUGAGGGAAAGAUGAAAAGAACUUUGAAAAGAGAGUAAAAUAGUACGUGAAAUUGUUGAAAGGGAAACGAUUGAAGUCAGUCGUACCGACGAGAAAUCAGCUUAUCGCGUGUGAACUUGUGGGCGUGCGUGAGUUUCGGCCUCGCUGUUUGCAUGUUUGUGCGUUUUGGGUGUACUUUUUCGUAUGGUUGGCCAACGUCAGUUUCGAUUACUAUAAAAUGACCGGCGGAAUGUAGCUUCGAUUUCGGUUGAAGUGUUAUAGCCUCUGGUAGGUGUGGUGAUUGGGACUGAGGAUUGCAACGAAUUCCUUUGGACCAUCCGUCUGAUCUCUGAAAGUUGCUCAGGUGCCGAAAGCGUGCUUACGGUCAUCUAAGUUGACGGUCAAUAGGUUAGAACGUGAUUACAUUCGUUAAGGACGUUGGCGUAAUGGCUUUAAACGACCCGUCUUGAAACACGGACCAAGGAGUCUAACAUAUAUGCGAGUGAUCAGUAUUGGGGAUCCAUAAU
RNAcentral lists this ribosomal RNA (859 nucleotides) under uncultured Glomus. RNAcentral describes it as "eukaryotic LSU rRNA". It matches the Rfam family "Eukaryotic large subunit ribosomal RNA", at positions 1 to 713 of the family's 3401-position model. Lineage: Eukaryota; Fungi; Glomeromycota; Glomeromycetes; Glomerales; Glomeraceae. The record is from RNAcentral.